RNAcentral lists this long non-coding RNA (517 nucleotides) under Androctonus crassicauda. The record is from RNAcentral. Lineage: Eukaryota; Metazoa; Arthropoda; Arachnida; Scorpiones; Buthidae.
AGAAAUUUAAAUAUAAGUGCUCCCCUCUUAUAUAUACUUUAAGUUCAUGGAAAUUUUAGAUAUCCAAAUUUUAUAUAAUCAAAUUUACCUUAUGCAAAUUAAUGCAAAAAAACACUAUAUACACACUAUAUGUACAACCCAUCUAAAGACAGGAGACAAUAUAGCUAUCAUAAUACAAUGCAUGUAUACAAGUCACUUUAACUUUGCUAUCAAGAAUCAAUUAUCAAUAGUGUUAACUCUCAUUAAAACAGUUUAAGCAUUGUUAUAAUACUACAAUAUAAAUUCAAAUAUACUUACUGUAGGCAAAAUCUGCAUAAAUUAGGACCUCCUGUAUCAAUUUAAAUUAUUUUAAAUAUUCUAAUUAAAAAUAUCUAAUCUAUUUUGAAUAAAAGUAUAGCAAUUUUAAAAAAAAUUUGUUUAUGUAAUUUUAGAUAUUAUUUAUAGGCAGAGAUAAUACUGACUUUAUAGAUCUUUAUCUGACUUUUCCAUUAUGAUAAAUUUAUAUAAAAAAAUUCAG